This is a long non-coding RNA of Magallana angulata, 3012 nucleotides long. RefSeq lists it as uncharacterized. The transcript has 2 exons. NCBI's taxonomy places the organism in Eukaryota, Metazoa, Mollusca, Bivalvia, Ostreida, Ostreidae. The record is from RefSeq and is a predicted model, not a curated record.
AUGUGAGAUGAAACAGGUAAUCCUUUUGAUCAACGAAAACGCAGAAGAAUUAUUCAAUUCUGUCAUAAAAGGUUCACACACACAACAAAUAAAGAAAAAAUAAAUCUAUCCAAUACACAUAAAACCCAAGCACCAAAGAUACAAUUCAAGGAUCCAUAUUCCGAAACCAGUGAAAAUUAAAAAUCACAUCAGAACCACAGUGCUAAAACAGAGCCUCCACAAACGCCAUUUCAUUUCUGUCCAACUUGUUAGGCCCUGAUCCAAUAUUGUUAUAUACCGGUACUUAUAAAAUUGCCAAUACCUUAUCUAGGCCUGUCUGGGCAGGCUUUAAAACUAUUGGAUAUUUUUCAAAGCAAACACUACCCUUUGCAUUUAAAAUUUUGGGGGCUACCUUUAAAUAUAUAUACACAUGUACUUAUGUUUGUAAUAGCGCUGUAUGGAGAGUUAAUGCCAUAUACUAAGGCUAUACCUCAAUAAUCAGACUGUCAGCUAGAAGAGACCUGAGUGACUAAUCAAGGGGAACCAACCUUAUUAAUUUACUCAUAGCUUAAUCAAAAUCCACUUUACAAGCACUGAAUGGAACCCUGCAGAAAACACAACUUCAAUGUAUUAUCUGAUGCACCAUCCAGAAUGAUCAGAUGGUCCCCACAUGGCUUUUUUCACGAUAUCUCCUGCAGGAUUUUGUCACUAAAGUUUAAAUGUUUGCAUGUACGCAAAACAUGCAUUUAUUCUAUCUCAAGUUCAUAAAUUAUUUAAAUCAAAACAAAUCAUCAUUAUCUCUCCACCUUUGAUGAAAUUCAUUCUUAAGUUAUAUAUUAAAUGGGAAAUUCCGUAAGUUUGACUCCAAGAAGAUGAAAAGAGUUAAGUCAAGGAGUCCUCCAUGCAUAAAAUUCACUAUGUAAUUAUUAUCUGGGAGAAGUCAGAAUGUUUACAUAUAGGCUUCAUUGAUUAUCUCUAGAUCCCAUACUGGGGCAAGUGACUUUGAAGAAGAAGGGUGUUUGGAGCAAUUGACUGAGAUUUUGACAACAUGUUAUGUUCAUGGUCACUGAUUGUAGACUGGUUCCCUAUAAAGAUGUGUAUCUAAUUCGCAAUUAUUUUAGUCUUUAAACUGCACAAAACUUAUCAAAUCAAAUACAGAGGAACGAAAUAUAAAUUGUAAAUUCCAAUCUAAUAUAAAAGGAAAAAUUCUUUUUCCAUUUUCUUAUGAUAUUUUAUUUCACUCAGAAUGAACCUGGGAACUGCCGACAUUUUUUGACAAUAUCUCAAAAACAAAACAUUUUGUAAUUUGCAAAGUAAAUGAGUUUUUAAUUGAACACCCCCUCUAUUGGUGCUUAGUAUAAAUAGUACUUGUAUCUUGUUACUUUCACUUUCCAAUUUUAGUUGGCGGCGGCUACAUGUACCAGCUGUGGAAGAAGAUUUGAUUUGUCAAUCAUUUAACCUAAUAGACCCAGGCAAAGCAAAAUAAUGUUAAGCGCACAAACAUACAAUUUAUGAAGCUGCAUAGUUUAUGUACACCAGAUGAUUAAAAUUUAAAAUAUUUCAAGGGAUAAGUAAGUAAGUAAAUAAUUUAUUUUUUCCAAAUUUUCAGCCCAAUGGGCAUACUAAGGUAAAUCAUAAUGGAGUAAAAUUAAUACACAUGUAACAAGAAAGGAAUUUUCAGAUGACAAUUGAAUUUAUAAGUAAUGAGAUACCCCUCAUUUCUUGGAAGUACAUGUAUGUGCAUUUUAUACAUCUACCGUAAUACUUCAUUUUUCUCAGAAAAAAAAAAUUGAGAGAAUUGUUAAAACACAUUCAAUAAUUACCAUACUAAGGACCAGACCCCUGCACUGUCAAAAAGUCUGCCCUUGGCCCUUAGGUUCUUUACUUAACAAACAUUAAACAAGGACCUUUUACUCAGUCAAAUGAAUGAGAUAAUGACGACAUAUCAAACAAACAGAAAACUAGUGCACAAGGGUCAACAUCAGCUUUAUGCCAUCUAGUUAAUAGGAGGAUUAGGAAAAUAGUUAUGCUUUAAGAUAAACAUUAUAUCUUUGCAAAAAAUAAUGAAGGAAACUCGAGUGUACUUCUUCCAUGUUACCAGUACUCUUUUGAUCCGAUCGAAUAAGUCUGAUUUAAAUUGAAUGCCAGCCACGAAAGAGUGUCAUAUCAAGACAAAAUGGAAGGCCAAGAAUUCGAAUACACAGCCAUAUUUGACUGAAAAUAUUUCAUGACAAGAAUUUUCAUAACAAUUUUUUUUCAAGGUAAAUUACCGUAAUAUGAUGGAAAAAAAUACAUUCAUUUUUGUUGUUAUCAAAACAGUUCAAUUCUGAAUGAAAUUAAAAACACUUCAAUUUAAUAAGUUUUAAAUUAUCCCAAACAAUGCAAGAUCACAUGUAUGCAUGGAGUUGGUCCUUGGUAAAUUUCUUUUAAAGAAGGAAAAUAGCUAUUUGAUAUCAAGUAUUUUGAGGGGAAAACACAUUUUGAUAAAACAGUUGUAAACACUUGGAAAUGGUCCAAAUUUUGUCAAAUACAUUGCCAAAUGAUCUGCGACACCAUACUGGUAGACAUCAAAACUUUUCAUCUACCGGUAUAAAGGAAACCUUAUAAAGAGAAAUCGUUUUUUUACAGCUCAUAUAGCUCUGUGUAAGCUUUGGAGGGGAUGCAUGGAAAUCCAGUUUUACUGCCUAACUUAGCCAACUUGUACAUGAAAACCUCAACGAUAUAUGAAAAUUCUCCCACUUUAGAGGAUUUCAAUGGGGAGAAACUGCAUACUAAACUUCAUCUUUACAAGUCAGGUUUGGUCAGCAGGCAGAAUUAUUCACUGCAAUGGAUAUAAUCCUUGUAGCUCUUCAUUCAUGGAUCAAUAAAACAUAUCUGCCCGGAAAAAAUAUGAUUACUUGAAAGAAUGUUUUUGGAGUGUGUAAAGAUCGACACAUUAGGACUUUAUAGGCUCUCAGCGAUAUGGGACAAGCACCUGUACUGAAGUCUCAUAAAUCACAGCUUUGUUUUACAAAUAAAUUCAUAUUGACAUUU